Non-coding RNA from Phrynosoma platyrhinos (Desert horned lizard), 72 nucleotides. NCBI's taxonomy places the organism in Eukaryota, Metazoa, Chordata, Lepidosauria, Squamata, Phrynosomatidae. The record is from the annotation of a GenBank genome assembly.
GCCAGCAUGGCGCAGUGGUUUGAGUGCUGGACUAUGACUCUGGAAAUCAGGGUUUGAUUCCCAGCUCAGUCA